UACGGAGGGGACUAGCGUUGUUCGGAAUUACUGGGCGUAAAGCGCACGUAGGCGGAUUUGUAAGUCAGGGGUGAAAUCCCGAGGCUCAACCUCGGAACUGCCUUUGAUACUGCAAAUCUCGAGUCCGGAAGAGGUGAGUGGAAUUCCUGGUGUAGCGGUGAAAUGCGCAGAUAUCAGGAAGAACACCCGUGGCGAAGGCGGUUCUCUGGGACGGUACUGACGCUGAGACGCGAAAGCGUGGGGAGCGAACAGG
Molecule: ribosomal RNA, 253 nt
Filed under: uncultured bacterium
Lineage: Bacteria
Description: partial 16S ribosomal RNA
Rfam family: Bacterial small subunit ribosomal RNA
Source: RNAcentral